AAAGCCUUAGCUUAAUUAAAGUACCUGAUUUGCAUUCAGUAGAUGUGAGUUAAAGCCUCGCAGGUUUUA
Molecule: transfer RNA, 69 nt
Filed under: Calamus penna (sheepshead porgy)
Lineage: Eukaryota; Metazoa; Chordata; Actinopteri; Spariformes; Sparidae
Description: tRNA-Ala
Rfam family: tRNA
About the family: Transfer RNA (tRNA) molecules are approximately 80 nucleotides in length. Their secondary structure includes four short double-helical elements and three loops (D, anti-codon, and T loops).
Source: RNAcentral